This 2028-nucleotide ribosomal RNA is filed under the name Triticum aestivum (bread wheat). Its description in RNAcentral is "partial small subunit ribosomal RNA". Lineage: Eukaryota; Viridiplantae; Streptophyta; Magnoliopsida; Poales; Poaceae. The record is from RNAcentral.
AUGCGCGCCAUCCGGGUCUACUUACUAUGCCCAGCAAUCGACAUUAUUUUCAUGGCAUAUCGGAUCAUCACGGCCUUAAAUGCAAUGUAUACGUGCAUCUGCCGUGUCCACAUUCAUGUAUACCGAUUCCGUGACUCCUCCAGCCAGUCACACGAACAUGGAAUCAUGGAGAGAAGUCCAUCUAGAGCUUUCCCCGGAACAGGAGCUUAUCGGGGCCGUCCUACCGGAGCCAUUGCUACACCCGAAACGAGAAACAAAUUAUUCUCGAUCGGUUGGCUGCUGGCUACUACUACUCGGCUGAUUCCGUCGAGCACAUACGCUUCUCCAUCUCUCGCCUCUCUCUCUCUCUCUCUCUGCACGCGCGGACGCCAUGGACAAAGCUCCGGCGGCGGCAGCAGCCAACAACCUUGCCAAUCCUCCGGCGGUUGCGGUGGUGGUGAAUGUGGUCGUCAAUCCACCAGCGAAUGUGGUCGUCAAUCCACCAGCAGAGGCGGCGCCGCCAGCGUGUGGAGCUGCGGACGUUCUGCUGCUGAUAUGUUUGCUCGGCAUUUUGGCGGUGAGCGUGUAUUGGAUCGUGCUGGCGUGCCUCGCAAAUUGGUAUCGACAGACGGGCUGUGGCCGGGGUACACGGUGGUGAUUCCCAAUUCUCGUGCGGUCGAUUUCAUUUCAUCGGAAACACAUGAAGGCCUUACUCUCGUGGGAGCGGCGGCCUUAUGCUGGGCACUGUGGCUUACCAGGAAUGAUGUGAUCUUCAAUAACAAAUGUGUCUCAUCUCCUAUGCAAGUUAUUCAUGUUUGUACACGAUGGCUCCGUACUUGGUCUAUCCUGCAGAGGCCGGAGGACAUGGACAUUUUUAUAAUGGCGUCUACACGGCUGGAGCGUUCGGCCAGGGAGGUUUUCUACCCCCAUGGAUGGCGGCCUUACUCUCACUCAAGCAACGCAGCGCUGUGGAAGAGUAUCGGCAGCAGAUUUCAGUCCACAACCCAUAGUACGACGAGCAAUUCUUUGUAUCCCAAUUUAUCCGUGGCUUGUCUAUUGCCACAAGUUCAGCAGGAGGUAACUGAAGAUCUCAAACAGUGGGCUGGGCACCUCGUCCCUUCCUGCAGCAUGGCCGGCCGUACUGAACAUCUGGGACACAAACCAGAAGUACCCAAACACUUUGGUAGCUCGGGGAUUUUGGGCGUACCGAUACACUUUGUUUUCGCUCCGGGGAACAGUACGACCCAACUCAUCAAGGCUACUGCUGAAUUACAUGUAGUCCAAGGAGCAGUGAUGGAAAUAUUAAACAGGAUGGGCUUUGAGCCGCCGUUGGAGCUCCGUGGGGCAAGGCCCAGGCGGGGGACGGCGGCGGCAACACGUGACGACUUUGAUUUGCUGGUGCUUCUCGAGUACCCAGUCUGGAGCUCCGGCGUGAAAAUCUUAGGUGAAACCAAGGAUCUAACCAUUGGUGGUUGGAUCCGGUCUUGGGCUCAUGAUAAAAGAGGUAUUUUCAGUGCCCGCUCAGCCUACCGAAUGAUGGUUCAGACCAAGUACAAUCAAGAAGAGGGUCGCUAUUUCAUAAAUCUGGGUCAUCGACAACUGCUGCUGAAGGAGGGGAUUUGUAUGGCUCCCUCCCUAUGCUGCUCUUCGUUGCGAAGAGAAGACUUCUGGCGUCAUGCUCUUCUAGACUGUUCCAUGUCUAGAAGUGUAUGGGCAUUGAAAGAAGUUCAACCAAGGAAGAAAGAGUCUGGAAGGUUAACAUGGACACUACCACCGAUUGGUUUUGCCAAGUGUAAUGUCGACGGAGCUGUUGCGCGACAUGGGGGUGGACGAGCAGUUGCAGGAAUUUGUAGAGAUCACAAUGACUUAUACCUCAGGUUAUCAUCAAUCACCUUCAUUGAUAAUACUGAUUUCCCAAACUUGGAAGCUUUGGCUUGGAGAGAAGCUCAAGCCUUGGCAGAUGAUCUAAAUAGGUCCUCAUCUCAUCAGAUAGUGCAACUGCCGUCAAGGAUAUUGCGGAUAAAACUGGAGAACAACAUGCAGCGGUAA